RNAcentral lists this ribosomal RNA (478 nucleotides) under uncultured bacterium. Its description in RNAcentral is "partial 16S ribosomal RNA". It matches the Rfam family "Bacterial small subunit ribosomal RNA", at positions 28 to 523 of the family's 1533-position model. The record is from RNAcentral.
GACGAGCGCUGGCGGCGUGCUUAACACAUGCAAGUCGAACGGUAAGGCCCUUCGGGGUACACGAGUGGCGAACGGGUGAGUAACACGUGGGUGAUCUGCCCUGCACUUCGGGAUAAGCCUGGGAAACUGGGUCUAAUACCGGAUAGGACUCCGGACUGCAUGGUCUGGGGUGGAAAGCUUUUGCGGUGUGGGAUGGGCCCGCGGCCUAUCAGCUUGUUGGUGGGGUGAUGGCCUACCAAGGCGACGACGGGUAGCCGGCCUGAGAGGGUGACCGGCCACACUGGGACUGAGAUACGGCCCAGACUCCUACGGGAGGCAGCAGUGGGGAAUAUUGCACAAUGGGCGCAAGCCUGAUGCAGCGACGCCGCGUGAGGGAUAACGGCCUUCGGGUUGUAAACCUCUUUCAGCAUCGACGAAGCGAAAGUGACGGUAGGUGCAGAAGAAGGACCGGCCAACUACGUGCCAGCCGCCGCGGUAA